CCUACGGGUGGCUGCAGUCGAGGAUCUUCGGCAAUGGACGCAAGUCUGACCGAGCGACGCCGCGUGCGGGAUGAAGGCUUUCGGGUUGUAAACCGCUGUCAGUGGGGAGGCCUAUCCGCAGAGGAAGCAAGGGCUAAGUUCGUGCCAGCAGCCGCGGUAAGACGAACCUUGCUAACGUUAUUCGGAAUUACUGGGCUUAAAGGGUGCGUAGGCGGUGCAGAAAGUCGGGUGUGAAAUCCCCCAGCUCAACUGAGGAAUUGCGCCCGAAACUACUGUGCUAGAGAAAGAUAGAGGUACGCGGAACUUAGGGUGGAGCGGUGAAAUGCGUUGAUAUCCUAAGGAACACCGGUGGCGAAAGCGGCGUACUGGGUUUUCUGACGCUGAGGCACGAAAGCUAGGGUAGCGAACGGGAUUAGAUACCCUUGUAGUC
RNAcentral lists this ribosomal RNA (430 nucleotides) under uncultured bacterium. RNAcentral's name for it is "partial 16S ribosomal RNA". It matches the Rfam family "Bacterial small subunit ribosomal RNA", at positions 338 to 795 of the family's 1533-position model. The record is from RNAcentral.